Molecule: ribosomal RNA, 343 nt
Filed under: Rana dalmatina (agile frog)
Lineage: Eukaryota; Metazoa; Chordata; Amphibia; Anura; Ranidae
Description: partial 12S ribosomal RNA
Rfam family: Bacterial small subunit ribosomal RNA
Source: RNAcentral
UACGAGCAAUGCUUAAAACCCAAAGGAUUUGACGGUGUCCCACCCCACUAGAGGAGCCUGUUCUAUAAUCGAUGAUCCCCGCUUCACCUAACCAUCCCUCGCCUACCAGUCUGUAUACCUCCGUCGAAAGCUUACCAUGUGAACGCCCGCAGUAGGCUUAAUGAUUCACCAUCAACACGUCAGGUCAAGGUGCAGCUUAAGGAAUGGAAAGCAAUGGGCUACAAUUUCUAACUUAGAACAAACGAAAGACUAUGUGAAACCCUAGUCAUGAAGGUGGAUUUAGUAGUAAAAAGAAAGUAGAGUGUUCUUUUUAACCCGGCUCUGGGACGCGUACACACCGCCC